RNAcentral lists this ribosomal RNA (1164 nucleotides) under Triticum aestivum (bread wheat). Its description in RNAcentral is "partial small subunit ribosomal RNA". The record is from RNAcentral. Lineage: Eukaryota; Viridiplantae; Streptophyta; Magnoliopsida; Poales; Poaceae.
AUGAACGCAGCAUUAAAAACUAUCCUCCCACAUACUACUCUCCAUAAGUUGUGUCGGUGGCAUAUCAUGAAGAAGCACAAAGACCACCUCGCCUUACUGUAUAAGGCGCACGAGAAACUUAAGGAUGACCUCAAUGCGGUGCUGAACCACCCACUAAUGCCGUCAGAAUUUGAACGAGCAUGGAAGGACCUCAUUCAGAGAUACAACUUGCAAGACAAUGAAGUGAUGAAUUCGGUGUGGGAAGACAGGCACGAGUGGAUCUUCAUACACUUCAAGGAAAUUUUCUAUGCUCGGAUGACUUCCACACAGAGAAGCGAGAGCAUGAACCGCAGACUGAAGAAAAACUUUGUCAAAGAGAAGCAUGAUCUCCAUCUGUUUGCUCAGCAGGUGGACAAGUGCAUUCAGACCAGGAAGGCCGUCGAGCACGCAGAGACAGUAGCAAAUGAGUCAGAGGUAAAGACAACAACCCAGUUUGGGUUCGAAGUUCAGUUAUCAAAAGUGUAUACAAGGGCAGUGUUUGCAGAUUUCAAAGAAACACUCUACCAUAGCACUGCAUUCAGAGCAGAACGGUGCCAUGAGAACACGACAAAGUAUCUCGUACACCACUACAACAGAUCGAAUGCAUUUGACUGGGCAAGUUGUAAUUUCUAAGUGGUCGCCGAUGAACAGAAAGGUGUCUACGAAUGUGAAUGCAAACUCUGGACACACACAGGGCUCUUUGGCGUCCAUGUGUUAUGCAUGCUUUCUCAUUUGAGAGUACUCAAGAUUCCAGAGGUGUACAUCAUGAAAAGAUACACCCGUAACGCAAGAUCAGAUGCAACGUUUGACAGACGAGACUAUGAACAAACAGCACCAGAUGGAACCUCGCUUUUUUGCCGUAGCCUUGCAAACAGAGCGACAAGGUACGACACUGGGUGCCACAGAGCGUUGUCUGGUAUGAGGGCACUGAUCAAGGAAGUUGAUGUGCUCAACGAAGAAGAAGAAGAAGCAGCAAAACUAAAGCAAGUAGAGAAAUCCCAGCAUGACAAUAAUGCCGAGCAAGUAGAAAAUACCAAACACAGCGGAACUGGUGCUAUCAAAAAAGAAACAAUUCUUCCACCUCCUGUUUCAAACACAAGAGGAAGGAAGAAAGGGGGUGACGCAACCCAGAAAAAGGUUGCAUGA